RNAcentral lists this transfer RNA (76 nucleotides) under Pseudomonadota bacterium. RNAcentral describes it as "Proteobacteria bacterium (freshwater metagenome) tRNA-Arg". It matches the Rfam family "tRNA". Rfam says of the family: Transfer RNA (tRNA) molecules are approximately 80 nucleotides in length. Lineage: Bacteria; Pseudomonadati; Pseudomonadota. The record is from RNAcentral.
GUCCCGGUAGCUCAGUGGAUAGAGCAGCCGCCUUCUAAGCGGCUGGUCGCGCGUUCGAUCCGCGCCCGGGGCACCC